UGCGCAGGUGGCCGGGUAAGUCUGAUGUGAAAUCCCGCAGCUUAACUGCGGAAUGGCAUUGGAUACUAUUCGGCUAGAGGGUUGGAGGGGGGACUGGAAUUCUCGGUGUAGCAGUGAAAUGCGUAGAUAUCGAGAGGAACACCAGUGGCGAAGGCGAGUCCCUGGACAACUCCUGACACUGAGGCAAGACUAGGGGAGCGAAACA
RNAcentral lists this ribosomal RNA (205 nucleotides) under uncultured bacterium. RNAcentral describes it as "partial 16S ribosomal RNA". It matches the Rfam family "Bacterial small subunit ribosomal RNA", at positions 568 to 775 of the family's 1533-position model. The record is from RNAcentral.